UUUAAGACCCAGAGGUUGUAUUUGUCGAGAAAGGAAAUGUUGCUUUUUGACAGAUGAGAGAAAUCCCCUCAGUGUUGGCCAUGAGAGGAGAGAAGUGAAGUCAGUCACCUGGCGGUGAAGGACAGUAAAACAGGAAAGAAGGGGGAAAAAUCUCUUCCCCCUUUCUCUCGCUUUUCUGCAAAGAGAUCCACCUCCUAAUUUCUUCUCAACUCUUCUAGCAUAACCCUUCAAAGGAGACCAUUCCCUACAGACUUUCUUAUCUUUAUUUUUAUUGAGAAAAUAUCUUUAGCAGCAAAACAAUUUUUUGAGUCUAGGCAGGACUUGGCGGAUUUUCUUUCCCGUGAAAUUGAUCAUUGCUAAUAUCUGAGGCUCACAGGUGCUACAUUAGCUACCAGAAUAACGGAGACAGGCUGUCAUGAUAUACUCUUCUCAUCAAUUUGAACACAUUUGCCUGAAAUUUGCUGCAGGAUGCUGUCCAGUGAAGCAGUUUUUUUUCCUUGGGAUGCAGCAGUUCGCUGCUUUCUAAGCUUAUUGCAGACGAAGAAGUAGUCAGAUUAAACUGAGUGGAUUUUUUUAUUAUUAUUUUUGUCUUCUCUCCUCCUUUCAUUGACACGGGAUUUACCGGGGAAAGAUCACCUGUCUCUAUAAUCCGUCAGGGAGUAAAAAAAGUGAAUUAUUAUUUUAUUUAUUUAUUUUUAACCGGUGGAGGAGGCGUGAUCACGGAGAAUGAGACUGAGAGGAGCUGCCAGGGUUUGGAGGACAAGGCUGAGUUUGGGCUGGAAACUGGGAGUCUAGAUUUUUUAUUUCAUUUUAUUUUUAUUUUUUUAAAUUUUGGCACAACUUCCCCGGUUCGCCUCCGUGUCGUUUAGUUUCAUUCUAUGGACCGAUCCACAAGCCUGGACAUUGAGGAGCUCAAGAUGACACGAGAACAGUAUAUACUGGCAACACAGCAGAACAGCCUGCCAAGGAUUGAAAAUCCGCAACUUUAUCCAGUGGGAAUUUAUGGAUGGCGAAAGAGGUGCUUAUACUUCUUUGUCCUCCUGCUGUUGGUUACCAUGAUUGUUAACUUAGCAAUGACAAUAUGGAUUUUGAAGGUCAUGAAUUUCACAGUGGAUGGAAUGGGGAAUCUGAGAGUCACCAAAAAAGGAAUUCGACUUGAAGGCAUAUCUGAAUUUCUGCUUCCAUUGUAUGUGAAAGAAAUACAUUCCCGAAAGGAUAGCCCAAUGGUCUUACAGUCUGACAGGAACGUAACAGUGAAUGCAAGAAAUCACAUGGGACAGUUAACUGGACAACUGACUGUAGGAGCUGAUGCUGUGGAGGCCCAGUGUAAGAGAUUUGAAGUGAGGGCAAGUGAAGGUGAAAAGGUGCUGUUUUCUGCAGAUGAAGAUGAGAUCAUCAUUGGAGCUGACAGACUCAAAGUAACAGGCACAGAAGGGGCAGUGUUUGGGCACUCUGUGGAGACACCCCAUAUCAGAGCAGAACCUUCCCAAGACCUCAAACUUGAGUCUCCAACUAGAUCUUUGAUAAUGGAAGCACCAAGGGGAGUACAAGUUAGUGCGGCUGCAGGAGACUUAAAGGCAACCUGUAGGAAAGAACUGCACUUGCAGUCCACGGAAGGGGAGAUAUUUUUAAAUGCAGAUAUAAUCCGACUGGGAAAUCUACCAAUGGGUUCCUUUUCAUCUUCCCCAUCUAGCUCCUCAACUCCUCGACAGACUAUCUAUGAGCUCUGCGUUUGUCCCAAUGGUAAACUGUACCUUUCCCCGGCAGGAGCAGGCUCUACUUGUCAAUCCAGUAGCAACAUCUGUUUGUGGAGCUGAAAUGACUCCAGUUUCUCCUCACACCAGAAUAGCCUUUUGUUACUGUCCCUCUGCUUCACAGUUCUGCUCGGUUUCCUUGUGACAAGUUUGAAGCUUCAAAUGGCCCGCAGAGCAACUUCUUCCAGUAAUCCAGGGAAUGUAAAACAGAUAAAAAAUGUUUCCUAUUGUGGGAAGAUGACUUGAUAACAAUAAGGUAAGUGUGCUUUUAAAUAUUAUCUUUUCAGUUAUCCCACCCAGCUCAUAGUUUGUGCUGUGUCUAACUAUAAGAACACCAAUGCAAUGACUUGCUUCCAAAGCUAACUCUGAAGUUGGGGAGAGUAGUAUUAAAGGGGUAAAAAAUAAAUGAAAAAAUAAAAAGUGAAACUUGGCAACCAUAAUAAUGUGAUUAAUUUUCUGUUUUAGUAUCAUCUAUAGGGUUUAUUUUGUUCACUACAGGUGACAUUCACCCUUAUGAAGAAGACCAGCACAAGGUCUAUACACUGCUUCACAGCUAUUUGGCCUUGUUCUAGUCUUAUGUGUAGGGAUGAAUUUCACUAAAAAGGAAGAGCUAUCCCCUCCGCUACUGCAUAGUCAAACAAGGAUUUUAAUUAGACUACUUCAUUUGCUCAGAUUUCUUCAGCUGUUAACUAUUGAGUUUUGAGACUUUAAUUCCUUGUCUUUAAUAAAGAAAAAUACUUCUGUUGUUAGUCAUUUGUUUUUCCUUUUUCUGGUACGCUAAUUCUCUGCAAUACAGGAAAUAAAGUAGCAGCAUUGUAAGAAAACUGUAGGAAUUGUCAAUGUAUACUGGAUCUUCAAACAACCUUAUGAGGAAAGAGAUAUCUUUCAUUUCGGCACAUAGGUAACAGAAUGUAUGUGUAAAACUCAUCAACACAAAUGAUAUUCCAAGGAGAGGAGGACACCGCUGAAUGAGUGUGUGUCUGAGCUCAUACAUUCUAUCACCUGUGCCCACGUGCGUAUGCUGAUAAUUUAAAAGAUGGGCAAAAAAUUGCAGAGAAUCAUUGAUUCGGUGAAUUUAACCCUUUGUGCUGUUCUCAAAGUGUUCGUGAAUAGACUGAAUAGUUCUUUGCUGUUUAAAGUGUAUUGCGGAAUGUUUGUGCAAACAAAUGUCAGCCUCUGGGAACGGCUUGCAAUAGUUUGCUGUGAGUCUUCCCUUGAGUAUUCUCCAUUCAUGAUAUUCGAACUGUAUGACUGGUCACCUGAAUACAGUAGAGUUUUGGUUCCCUGGCUGAAUGACCUAACUUGUAUAAACUAAUUCUACUUCUGCGUGAACUGAAAUUCAUUACAUUGCAAAAACAAAUGUAAUUAUGUGAUGAGAUUAAUUUUAGCGACAAGACUGAAUUCAUUUUCCACCAACAUUUGUAUGUUCAGGGUUGCCAACUCUUGCAAAUGUUAAUGUGAGUCUUGUGAAAUUGGACAUUUUACUUUAAGCCCCAGCUCCUGGAAACAGGUGAAUAUG
Chelonia mydas (Green sea turtle) is the source of this 3273-nucleotide RNA transcript. It is a transcript of the gene named sarcoglycan zeta, with no coding region annotated. NCBI's taxonomy places the organism in Eukaryota, Metazoa, Chordata, Testudines, Cheloniidae. The record is from RefSeq and is a predicted model, not a curated record. The transcript is spliced from 9 exons.